RNAcentral lists this transfer RNA (88 nucleotides) under Candidatus Levyibacteriota bacterium. RNAcentral's name for it is "tRNA-Ser". It matches the Rfam family "tRNA". From Rfam's summary of the family: Transfer RNA (tRNA) molecules are approximately 80 nucleotides in length. Their secondary structure includes four short double-helical elements and three loops (D, anti-codon, and T loops). The record is from RNAcentral. Lineage: Bacteria; Candidatus Levyibacteriota.
GGAAGGGUAACCAAGUGGUCAUACGGUACCGCUUUCGAAAAGCGGCGUGGCAGCAAUGUCACCGUGGGUUCGAAUCCCACCCCUUCCG